ACUGCUGACAAGUAGUAUUUUACAAGCACUUGGUCUUUCUUCUGCAGAAGAAUUGAUUGGGUGGACCUACGCAGAUCCAUCUUGGGCUCGCAUUGCAGCUCUCAUUCCAGUUGUAGUAUCCUGUGCAGAGGCCGGGGAUGAGGUUGCAUACAAGAUCUUGCUAGAAUCGGCGCAAGAACUGGCUUCAAGUGUUAAAGCUGUUGUAGGCAGACUUGGAUUGUGCGGUCAAGAUGGAAAGGAUGCUUUCGAGUUUCUUAGAAAUUCCAAGUUUCUUGAUCUCAAGACCAUCAUCACUAUUCACUGCUUUCGAGGGUUCUUCGUAUGGAAAAGUUUCAGCAGCAUAACCAGCGCGAGAAGACAAAGAGGCGCGAAAUAGCAAAGGUUUUCAUAGAUGUUUUUCCUGAAGUAGUUGAGCACAGAAGGCUAUCAAUUGUUCUAUAUCUCCUACGAACUUUGGGUGAGGGUAAAAGCUUGGCCUCGUUACUUAUCUUGUUGUUCUCUUAGUUAGUUUCAAGGAAAGCCACCUGUUUCGUCAAUAUUCAGACGCCAGAUGCGUUAACAUUUUUUACUAAAGAGUGGGAAUAUAAAUUAGCAGUGCAGAUUUGUGAACAUUUUGGUUUCUCAGUGUGAUGUCACUGGUCUAGCAUACUUUUAUUUGAUUAGUCUGUAAACACUUCUGUUUAUCCCAACAAGGAUUCAUAUUAUUCAAAAGGCUCUUGGGCUGUUAUGUGAUGCUGCAAGAAAUCUUGAAAAAGUCAGCUUAAUUAAUGCUUAAAGACAAGAAAGCUUCAAGGUCAAGAUCAAGUUUUCCUUGGCUUCAUAUGGAUGAAGGCUCUCAAGAAUCACUUAAUAAAAUGUGUUUAGAAAUUCUUAGAGUACUUGAUGAUUCAUCAAAUACCUCCUUGAAAGUGUUAGCAGUUUCAGCGUUGGAAGUUCUUGCAGAAAGGUUCCCUUCGAAUAGUUCCAUCUUCGGUGUAUGCCUUGGAUCUAUUACAAGAUGCAUUACAUCUCAUAACAUGGCUGUGACUUCUACUUUUACUUUCAUUUCCUAAAUAAACACUUGUCAGUCUUCGACAAUCCCUGUGAAGAUGAAUCUUUAUAAAUUUUAUUACUCGAAGAUAAACUAAUGCACUUGAUAGG
Long non-coding RNA from Trifolium pratense (red clover), 1140 nucleotides. RefSeq lists it as uncharacterized. The record is from RefSeq and is a predicted model, not a curated record. NCBI's taxonomy places the organism in Eukaryota, Viridiplantae, Streptophyta, Magnoliopsida, Fabales, Fabaceae. The transcript has 6 exons.